Molecule: ribosomal RNA, 459 nt
Filed under: uncultured bacterium
Lineage: Bacteria
Description: partial 16S ribosomal RNA
Rfam family: Bacterial small subunit ribosomal RNA
Source: RNAcentral
CCUACGGGAGGCAGCAGUGAGGAAUAUUGGUCAAUGGACGGGAGUCUGAACCAGCCAAGUAGCGUGAAGGAUGAAUGCCCUACGGGUCGUCAACUUCUUUUAUAUGGGAAUAACAUGCUCCACUUGUGGGAUUCUGUCUGUACCGUAUGAAUAAGGAUCGGCUAACUCCGUGCCAGCAGCCGCGGUAAUACGGAAGUCCCGAGCGUUAUCCGGAUUUAUUGGGGUUAAAGGGUGCGUAGGCGGAUGUUUAAGUCAGCUGUAAAAUCGUGAGGCUCAACCGCAUCCCGCCGUUGAAACUGGGGAUCUAGAGUGGACGAGAGGUAUGCGGAAUGCGUGGUGUAGCGGUGAAAUGCAUAGAUAUCACGAAGAACCCCGAUUGCGAAGGCAGCAUACCGGGGCACAACGGACGCUGAGGCACGAAAGCGUGGGUAUCGAACAGGAUUAGAUACCCCAGUAGUC